UGCAAGUCGACGAUGAGCCCUUCGGGGUGGAUUAGUGGCGAACGGGUGAGUAACACGUGGGCAAUCUGCCCUUCACUCUGGGACAAGCCCUGGAAACGGGGUCUAAUACCGGAUGAUACUUCCACUCGCAUGGGUGGGGGUUGAAAGCUCCGGCGGUGAAGGAUGAGCCCGCGGCCUAUCAGCUUGUUGGUGAGGUAGUGGCUCACCAAGGCGACGACGGGUAGCCGGCCUGAGAGGGCGACCGGCCACACUGGGACUGAGACACGGCCCAGACUCCUACGGGAGGCAGCAGUGGGGAAUAUUGCACAAUGGGCGAAAGCCUGAUGCAGCGACGCCGCGUGAGGGAUGACGGCCUUCGGGUUGUAAACCUCUUUCAGCAGGGAAGAAGCGAAAGUGACGGUACCUGCAGAAGAAGCGCCGGCUAACUACGUGCCAGCAGCCGCGGUAAUACGUAGGGCGCAAGCGUUGUCCGGAAUUAUUGGGCGUAAAGAGCUCGUAGGCGGUCUGUCGCGUCGGAUGUGAAAGCCCGGGGCUUAACCCCGGGUCUGCAUUCGAUACGGGCAGACUAGAGUGUGGUAGGGGAGAUCGGAAUUCCUGGUGUAGCGGUGAAAUGCGCAGAUAUCAGGAGGAACACCGGUGGCGAAGGCGGAUCUCUGGGCCAUUACUGACGCUGAGGAGCGAAAGCG
RNAcentral lists this ribosomal RNA (686 nucleotides) under Streptomyces sp. KLBMP 03517. Its description in RNAcentral is "bacterial SSU rRNA". It matches the Rfam family "Bacterial small subunit ribosomal RNA", at positions 56 to 761 of the family's 1533-position model. Lineage: Bacteria; Bacillati; Actinomycetota; Actinomycetes; Kitasatosporales; Streptomycetaceae. The record is from RNAcentral.